Molecule: ribosomal RNA, 207 nt
Filed under: uncultured bacterium
Lineage: Bacteria
Description: partial 16S ribosomal RNA
Rfam family: Bacterial small subunit ribosomal RNA
Source: RNAcentral
CGAGUAGGCGGGCCUGCAAGUCUGGUGUGAAAGCCCGGGGCUCAACCCCGGAAGAGCGUUGGAAACGGCAGGUCUUGAGUGCCGGAGAGGAAGGGGGAAUUCCCGGUGUAGCGGUGAAAUGCGUAGAUAUCGGGAGGAAUACCAGUGGCGAAGGCGCCCUUCUGGACGGCAACUGACGCUGAGGCGCGAAAGCGUGGGGAGCAAACA